UGACCUCGGAUCAGGUAGGAAUACCCGCUGAACUUAAGCAUAUCAAAAAGGGGGGGAGGAA
RNAcentral lists this ribosomal RNA (61 nucleotides) under Striatibotrys eucylindrosporus. RNAcentral's name for it is "Striatibotrys eucylindrospora partial 28S ribosomal RNA". Lineage: Eukaryota; Fungi; Ascomycota; Sordariomycetes; Hypocreales; Stachybotryaceae. The record is from RNAcentral.